UACCANUGGCGAAGGCGGCUUUCUAGACAAACACUGACACUGAGGCACNANAGUGUGGGGAGCAAACAGGAUUAGAUACCCUGGUAGUCCCGCACCGUAAAACGAUGGAUUACUANGUAUCGGNUAGAAAAACUNUCGGUACCCAAGUUAACGCAUUAAAGUNUCCCUCCNUGGGGAGUACGACCNCCAAGGU
This 193-nucleotide ribosomal RNA is filed under the name uncultured bacterium. RNAcentral describes it as "partial 16S ribosomal RNA". It matches the Rfam family "Bacterial small subunit ribosomal RNA", at positions 707 to 894 of the family's 1533-position model. The record is from RNAcentral.